GACGAACGCUGGCGGCGUGCUUAACACAUGCAAGUCGAACGGAAAGGCCCUGCUUUUGUGGGGUGCUCGAGUGGCGAACGGGUGAGUAACACGUGAGUAACCUGCCCUUGACUUUGGGAUAACUUCAGGAAACUGGGGCUAAUACCGGAUAGGAGCUCCUGCUGCAUGGUGGGGGUUGGAAAGUUUCGGCGGUAGGGGAUGGACUCGCGGCUUAUCAGCUUGUUGGUGGGGUAGUGGCUUACAAAGGCUUUGACGGGUAGCCGGCCUGAGAGGGUGACCGGCCACAUUGGGACUGAGAUACGGCGCAGACUCCUACGGGAGGCAGCGGUGGGGAAUAUUGCAGAAUGGGCGGAAGCCUGAUGCAGCAACGCCGCGUGCGGGAUGACGGCCUACGGGUUGUAAACCGCUUUCGACUGUGACGAAGCGGGAGUGACGGUAAUGGGUAAAGAAGCACCGGCUAACUACGUG
RNAcentral lists this ribosomal RNA (468 nucleotides) under uncultured bacterium. RNAcentral's name for it is "partial 16S ribosomal RNA". It matches the Rfam family "Bacterial small subunit ribosomal RNA", at positions 28 to 507 of the family's 1533-position model. The record is from RNAcentral.